GUAUACAGUUUGUUUCUUUUACUGGAUGUUGCAGAACGCUAAAUCUGCAGGACUAGAUGGAAAAACAAAGUUGGGCAGAGCUUCUCCAUCUAGUCUGAUAAAACUUCCUAUUCAAGAGAAAGUGACUAAGGGUCAACAGCAAUUACUUCAAAACUUAUUUUACUAUGUCAAUACCUGAAAACAUAUAUUUUAAAAGAUGAACAUACAAAGUCCAAAUAAAGUCAUUUUUUAAAACUUUAUUAUUGUUUACCAAUGGGGAGAUGCAGUUUAUUUACACCAGCAGCCAUAGGGGCAAGGGGAAUACACAGUUAAGUCAGCAAUCUGUAUAGGAUGGACUACUUAUGCAAAAAUAAGAAUCUCCAAAACAAAGGACAGUGGUGGGCUUCACUACACUUCCCCAAUGAUCCCAGCAUGCGACAAUGCCAGGCAAUGGCCCCAGGCAUGCGGUGGUGGAAAGUAACGUAUGGAAGAAAAAGCCACAAACCACAGAAAUUUGUAAAGAACCCCUUUCCCCCCAUACACACACACACUCAGAUACAUAAUAGAAUUACACGGUGAUCAAUACACUAAUUGAACAGGGAGGGAGAGAAAUUCUGCUGUUAGAGGGAAGAUAGGUAGGCAAAGGGAGAGUUCCUAACCACUGUCAACUACAUGGUAGGGAGUAUUCUCUCCCCAAAAAGACUUUGUCCCCUCAGGGCACCUGUUGGACCUAGCACACCUUACACCCAUCCAGGGCAGGAGGCUACUGCCCUAAUAGUGGGGGGCAAAAAAAUAAAAACUAAAACCAAGAGGGAGGUAACGUGAACCAACCAUUACUCAAAACUACUCCCCACUUCUUCCUCCUCUAACAGGAGAAAAGGCCAGAAAGGAAACAGUAAUGUCACAGUCUGCACUCCCUCUCUGAAGGAAGAGUGGACCAUGGUCCUAUCUUCAGCCUGUUUCUCAGACAUUAUUUAAAAUUAGGCCAGUCUCACUUAAAACCUCCUUACUCUCUGUAUCCCCUUAGAAUGAGAUGUUUACAAAAAGGGCAGAUAACCCCAAAAAAGCAAGAUAUUUUAGCUCUUGCUUUUUUUUUAAAGUUAUCACAAUUCUUGGAUUGAAGACCAAUCUGUAACUAGGUCCUGACCCUAAGCACGACAACUCUGGGGGAGAAUGCAGUAACAGAUAGUCUUGAGGCCUUAUUACUAUGGUUCCCUUAAUCCUCUAAAGUAUGUAACCCAAAUCAGUCCACAUGGUCCAAACGGUUCCUUCUGGGAUAAGGAAGGAUACAUGCACAGCAAGGGUUAAAGAAAACGCAUCAGGACCAACUCCAUCCCUGUGUGUGUCAGCCAGCCUUGACUGCUCUUCUGCCUAAGUCCUAAGAGGCGGUAUCCAAGUGGAGGCGGGGAGAUAUGACUCCUCAGGAAGUAAGACAGAGCAGGAAGGCAUACUAGCAAGGCAGUCCUAUAGGAGAAAUGCUUAGGUGUGACACUGCCUUUCAUAUACAAAAACUUAGGUUCCUUUCUCAUCCUAAGCCUAACACAGAAAGCCAUAAGAAAGAUUCUUCUGAGUCUCCCACACAAACAAGAAGAAAAAAACAUAAGAAACUUAAAAGAAGCCAAGGAAAGGGAAACUGGGCAGGCUUCAGAAGCAGGAGCAUCAAGAGAUGAAAUGAAACUGGUCAAUGUGAAAGCAGGGUGGCAGGCAGCACCUGGGGUCAUGAGCUGCACCAAAUAGGCAGUGGAGCAGGGACGUGUGGCCAAGCCAGAGAGAUGAGGCUGGGUCCCUUACUAGGGCACAGAAUGAGGUAAGAAAACAUUUCAAAUAGAGCAGCACCGUUCCCGCUCACCUUGGGGCUCCCAUCCCUCUACACUUCAUAAACCCUCCAUCAGGGAGUAAAGUGGAGGGUAAUUCUGAUAUGCGGCUCACACUUCCCAUCCUCCCCAUCCCAUUCCCUGAAACCAGGGCAUUUCUGGAGGCCCUUUCCUGACUUCCAACAACAAAAGGACAGCUCUUGUAAAGAAGGUCCAAAGGGGACCCAGUGGAGAGGGCUGCCCCUUGUGAGAGGCAGAGAGUGACGUGUCUAGAUGUUCACCACAGCAGAGCUUUGUGACUGCCCAACCCAAGGAACAGGGGCAUUCAACAGGAUACUGCACAGUCAGAUGAGAUGACCCAGUCCUGCUCCUUGGCUCCUAGCACUAACCCAUUCACAUUACUGAGGGCAGCUGGAAGAGGUCCUCUCCGGGCUUAGCUUUCAAACCACAACCUCCUGCACAGCCAUGAUGCUCUUCUACAGUUCAGUCUUGCCCCUGGGGUGGAAGGCAGUUAGUGACCUGGCAUAAGGACCAAGUCAGGCUCACAAACUGGCUAGAUAACUAGUAACAGAGUAGGAAAAUGACUGCCCCACCAAACGCUUGUCCACAGCAUAAUGGAUCCAGAUAUGAAUCUUGCAGUUUGAGAGAUCGUGCAUAGUUGCAGAGGCCCCCACUACUUCCCCAAGAGAUCAUAACUAAAUUCUCAGCCUGCCUGGAUAACCAAGGGGUCCAUUUGCCAAGCCUAUGCCACAAGGUGGGGUGCCAGAAAGAGGGAUCUGUUCAGCAGAAGGCUAGACUUUGUCCCCAAGACCGCUGUAGUCACUGUAAAUGCUGGACCUCUGGGAAACUGGUGGCUUUGACCUUUUCUCUCGUUGGAGCCAAGACCACAGAGCUUCGCCUACCAGAUUCAGCCGGGAAUUCUCUCUCUUGGUUUUCCCAAAUUGUAAUUGUUAACAUCCAGACCUCAUACCUGACCUUCAUUUGUCUCGGCGAAGGCCAAAUCAGAGGAACCAAAGGAUUUUAUAUGCUGGGCACACAGCCACACACCUGUGCACUGGGGACAGUACUGGGAUCUUGCGCACUUCCUGGUGUGUUUACAGAUCAACCUGUAUUGCAUGGCGCGCGGGACGCACAGCUCCUCCUGCCCGGGAUUUCAAAGCCGACCCCAAGUAACAGACUUAUAAAAGGAUCCUAAUUCCUAAAUUCUCCACUUUGGGUUUAUAAAGGCUAGGAUCUUCAAUGGGAAUUGGGACUGUUGUCUGAGUUUUUUUUCCUACUCAGCUACCUAAAUUCUCCAAUCCACAAGACCAGUCUGCGUCCCUGUCCUGGUCACCCCCAGACUCGCUCAUGCUGCAGCUACUGGAAUUCUGGGGGUGAGCGCUGCAGCUGCUGAUCCGGCCCGCUCCCGGCCUCCGCGGGGAGGGAGCACAGCGGGAGGCGGCACGCUCCCUUCUCCUCCACGGGCUGGAUGCCAAAAUCCUUCACGUUCCCGGUCUCCGCGAACUCCAGGUAGAAGUAGCCACACUUGACGGCCCGGUGCACCUCAAAGCAGAAGCCCAAGCAGGAAUCCUCUAUCAGGUCUACGUAUAUCUCCUGCGCGAUGGCCUCCAGCUUGUUGGUGUCCAGGUUGGCCAGGGAGAUCUCCUCCAUCUUAACCCGGGGGCGGCGGCGGGUCCCGGCGGGAGGGUCUGGGACGCGGAGGCCCGGCUGGGGGGCUCGGCCGCGGGGCCCGGCCGG
RNAcentral lists this long non-coding RNA (3530 nucleotides) under Equus caballus (horse). Its description in RNAcentral is "lncRNA (ENSECAG00000053287.1)". The record is from RNAcentral. Lineage: Eukaryota; Metazoa; Chordata; Mammalia; Perissodactyla; Equidae.